AUCCAAGAAGCCUGGACAUUGAGGAGAGGGACAGCCCAGCACUGACUUUCCAUGGAGCUCAGGCAUAGAGCGCCUUGUUCCAAAAUGGGAUCCAGCAGGACUUCUGACAACUGGAAACUCCAGGCAAUCACCAAACAGAUAUCACAGAGUUUAGAAGUGCCCUGGCAUUUUAAAUAGGUAGGUUUUUCCAAGAGAACUUGGAUACCACUGUGAGCAUCCUUCAGCAAUGGCGACUGAAAGAUUCCUUCACAAGGAUUAUAUUUUGCUGGGAGCUGUUCGUGCAGGUCUGCCUGCUGACAAAGUCCGGGAGACUGAGGACCCCAGACUGCACAGCACAUCUGGGAAAGUGACAGUCCUGCUUCUGCUUCUCUGCCUGCUUAUGCUGUUAAUAAAAACUGCGAGAGCUGGGAAAUUGCUGCCAAAUCAAAACUCCCCCCAAAAAAGGCCCAGGAAAGGGUAAAGGUCGGGAAUUAGUGCUUACUCAUAAGCUGCCAGAAACCCCUAAAAUCCCUACAAUCCCCCCUUUUUCUAGCCCUCCUUAACCCUGGGGAUUGCCCCUCUCUAAUAUAAUGCUUUCGUAUCGGGAGUGCUAUUCCUUUCACUCUCAGUGGAAGUUUGACAAUCAGCCAGGGCAUACACCAUUCAAUUUAUGACGAGGAUCUCAUUUUCCUUGCCAGGGAAUGAUGGGUAAACAUAAUUGUUACUGGGCAUUGACAAGGGGAAA
RNAcentral lists this long non-coding RNA (724 nucleotides) under Sus scrofa (pig). Its description in RNAcentral is "lncRNA (ENSSSCG00065028883.1)". The record is from RNAcentral. Lineage: Eukaryota; Metazoa; Chordata; Mammalia; Artiodactyla; Suidae.